This 443-nucleotide ribosomal RNA is filed under the name Escherichia coli. RNAcentral's name for it is "partial 23S ribosomal RNA". It matches the Rfam family "Bacterial large subunit ribosomal RNA", at positions 2480 to 2925 of the family's 2925-position model. Lineage: Bacteria; Pseudomonadati; Pseudomonadota; Gammaproteobacteria; Enterobacterales; Enterobacteriaceae. The record is from RNAcentral.
GGCUUAUCUCCCCCAAGAGUUCACAUCGACGGGGAGGUUUGGCACCUCGAUGUCGGCUCAUCGCAUCCUGGGGCUGUAGUCGGUCCCAAGGGUUGGGCUGUUCGCCCAUUAAAGCGGUACGCGAGCUGGGUUCAGAACGUCGUGAGACAGUUCGGUCCCUAUCCGUCGUGGGCGUAGGAAAUUUGAGAGGAGCUGUCCUUAGUACGAGAGGACCGGGAUGGACAUACCUCUGGUGUACCAGUUGUCGUGCCAACGGCAUAGCUGGGUAGCUAUGUGUGGAUGGGAUAAGUGCUGAAAGCAUCUAAGCAUGAAGCCCCCCUCAAGAUGAGAUUUCCCAACUUCGGUUAUAAGAUCCCUCAAAGAUGAUGAGGUUAAUAGGUUCGAGGUGGAAGCAUGGUGACAUGUGGAGCUGACGAAUACUAAUCAAUCGAAGACUUAAUCAA